Molecule: ribosomal RNA, 924 nt
Filed under: uncultured Anaplasma sp.
Lineage: Bacteria; Pseudomonadati; Pseudomonadota; Alphaproteobacteria; Rickettsiales; Anaplasmataceae
Description: bacterial SSU rRNA
Rfam family: Bacterial small subunit ribosomal RNA
Source: RNAcentral
GUCGAACGGAUUAUUCUUUAUUUCUUGCUAUGAUGAAAAUUAGUGGCAGACGGGUGAGUAAUGCAUAGGAAUCUACCUAGUAGUAUGGGAUAGCCACUAGAAAUGGUGGGUAAUACUGUAUAAUCCCUGCGGGGGAAAGAUUUAUCGCUAUUAGAUGAGCCUAUGUUAGAUUAGCUAGUUGGUAGGGUAAAGGCCUACCAAGGCAGUGAUCUAUAGCUGGUCUGAGAGGAUGAUCAGCCACACUGGAACUGAGAUACGGUCCAGACUCCUACGGGAGGCAGCAGCGGGGAAUAUUGGACAAUGGGCGCAAGCCUGAUCCAGCUAUGCCGCGUGAGUGAGGAAGGCCUUAGGGUUGUAAAACUCUUUCAGUGGGGAAGAUAAUGACGGUACCCACAGAAGAAGUCCCGGCAAACUCCGUGCCAGCAGCCGCGGUAAUACGGAGGGGGCAAGCGUUGUUCGGAAUUAUUGGGCGUAAAGGGCAUGUAGGCGGUUCGGUAAGUUAAAGGUGAAAUGCCAGGGCUUAACCCUGGAGCUGCUUUUAAUACUGCCAGACUAGAGACCGGGAGAGGAUAGCGGAAUUCCUAGUGUAGAGGUGAAAUUCGUAGAUAUUAGGAGGAACACCAGUGGCGAAGGCGGCUAUCUGGUCCGGUACUGACGCUGAGGUGCGAAAGCGUGGGGAGCAAACAGGAUUAGAUACCCUGGUAGUCCACGCUGUAAACGAUGAGUGCUGAAUGUGGGGGUGUUUGCCUCUGUGUUGUAGCUAACGCGUUAAGCACUCCGCCUGGGGACUACGGUCGCAAGACUAAAACUCAAAGGAAUUGACGGGGACCCGCACAAGCGGUGGAGCAUGUGGUUUAAUUCGAUGCAACGCGAAGAACCUUACCACUUCUUGACAUGGAGAUUAGAUCCUUCUUAACGGAAGGG